This 484-nucleotide ribosomal RNA is filed under the name uncultured bacterium. RNAcentral describes it as "partial 16S ribosomal RNA". It matches the Rfam family "Bacterial small subunit ribosomal RNA", at positions 30 to 507 of the family's 1533-position model. The record is from RNAcentral.
AUUGAACGCUGGCGGCAGGCCUAACACAUGCAAGUCGAGCGGAUGAAGGGAGCUUGCUCCUGGAUUCAGCGGCGGACGGGUGAGUAAUGCCUAGGAAUCUGCCUGGUAGUGGGGGAUAACGUCCGGAAACGGGCGCUAAUACCGCAUACGUCCUGAGGGAGAAAGUGGGGGAUCUUCGGACCUCACGCUAUCAGAUGAGCCUAGGUCGGAUUAGCUAGUUGGUGGGGUGAAGGCCUACCAAGGCGACGAUCCGUAACUGGUCUGAGAGGAUGAUCAGUCACACUGGAACUGAGACACGGUCCAGACUCCUACGGGAGGCAGCAGUGGGGAAUAUUGGACAAUGGGCGAAAGCCUGAUCCAGCCAUGCCGCGUGUGUGAAGAAGGUCUUCGGAUUGUAAAGCACUUUAAGUUGGGAGGAAGGGCAGUAAGUUAAUACCUUGCUGUUCUGACGUUACCAACAGAAUAAGCACCGGCUAACUUCGUG